RNAcentral lists this ribosomal RNA (1403 nucleotides) under Streptococcus agalactiae. Its description in RNAcentral is "partial 16S ribosomal RNA". It matches the Rfam family "Bacterial small subunit ribosomal RNA", at positions 17 to 1330 of the family's 1533-position model. The record is from RNAcentral. Lineage: Bacteria; Bacillati; Bacillota; Bacilli; Lactobacillales; Streptococcaceae.
GACGGGGGGGGGGGGAACGCUGGCGGCGUGCCUAAUACAUGCAAGUAGAACGCUGAGGUUUGGUGUUUACACUAGACUGAUGAGUUGCGAACGGGUGAGUAACGCGUAGGUAACCUGCCUCAUAGCGGGGGAUAACUAUUGGAAACGAUAGCUAAUACCGCAUAAGAGUAAUUAACACAUGUUAGUUAUUUAAAAGGAGCAAUUGCUUCACUGUGAGAUGGACCUGCGUUGUAUUAGCUAGUUGGUGAGGUAAAGGCUCACCAAGGCGACGAUACAUAGCCGACCUGAGAGGGUGAUCGGCCACACUGGGACUGAGACACGGCCCAGACUCCUACGGGAGGCAGCAGUAGGGAAUCUUCGGCAAUGGACGGAAGUCUGACCGAGCAACGCCGCGUGAGUGAAGAAGGUUUUCGGAUCGUAAAGCUCUGUUGUUAGAGAAGAACGUUGGUAGGAGUGGAAAAUCUACCAAGUGACGGUAACUAACCAGAAAGGGACGGCUAACUACGUGCCAGCAGCCGCGGUAAUACGUAGGUCCCGAGCGUUGUCCGGAUUUAUUGGGCGUAAAGCGAGCGCAGGCGGUUCUUUAAGUCUGAAGUUAAAGGCAGUGGCUUAACCAUUGUACGCUUUGGAAACUGGAGGACUUGAGUGCAGAAGGGGAGAGUGGAAUUCCAUGUGUAGCGGUGAAAUGCGUAGAUAUAUGGAGGAACACCGGUGGCGAAAGCGGCUCUCUGGUCUGUAACUGACGCUGAGGCUCGAAAGCGGGGGGGGGGGGGGGGGGGGGGGGUGGGGAGCAAACAGGAUUAGAUACCCUGGUAGUCCACGCCGUAAACGAUGAGUGCUAGGUGUUAGGCCCUUUCCGGGGCUUAGUGCCGCAGCUAACGCAUUAAGCACUCCGCCUGGGGAGUACGACCGCAAGGUUGAAACUCAAAGGAAUUGACGGGGGGGGGGGGGGGGGGGGGCCCGCACAAGCGGUGGAGCAUGUGGUUUAAUUCGAAGCAACGCGAAGAACCUUACCAGGUCUUGGGGGGGGGGGGGGGGGGGGGGGGGGGGACAUCCUUCUGACCGGCCUAGAGAUAGGCUUUCUCUUCGGAGCAGAAGUGACAGGUGGUGCAUGGUUGUCGUCAGGGCCCGGGGGGGGGGCUCGUGUCGUGAGAUGUUGGGUUAAGUCCCGCAACGAGCGCAACCCCUAUUGUUAGUUGCCAUCAUUAAGUUGGGCACUCUAGCGAGACUGCCGGUAAUAAACCGGAGGAAGGUGGGGAUGACGUCAAAUCAUCAUGCCCCUUAUGACCUGGGCUACACACGUGCUACAAUGGUUGGUACAACGAGUCGCAAGCCGGUGACGGCAAGCUAAUCUCUUAAAGCCAAUCUCAGUGGCGGGCUGCGAGGGGCUGGGGCAUCGGGGA